RNAcentral lists this ribosomal RNA (442 nucleotides) under uncultured Prevotella sp. Its description in RNAcentral is "bacterial SSU rRNA". It matches the Rfam family "Bacterial small subunit ribosomal RNA", at positions 355 to 794 of the family's 1533-position model. Lineage: Bacteria; Pseudomonadati; Bacteroidota; Bacteroidia; Bacteroidales; Prevotellaceae. The record is from RNAcentral.
UGAGGAAUAUUGGUCAAUGGGCGCAAGCCUGAACCAGCCAAGUAGCGUGAGGGACGACGGCCCUAUGGGUUGUAAACCUCUUUUAUGCGGGGAUAACCGGUGCCACGCGUGGCGCCCUGCAGGUACCGCAUGAAUAAGGACCGGCUAAUUCCGUGCCAGCAGCCGCGGUAAUACGGAAGGUCCGGGCGUUAUCCGGAUUCAUUGGGUUUAAAGGGAGCGUAGGCCGCCCUUUAAGCGUGUUGUGAAAUGUAGGGGCUCAACCCCUGCACUGCAGCGCGAACUGGAGGGCUUGAGUACACGCAAGGCAGGCGGAAUUCGUGGUGUAGCGGUGAAAUGCUUAGAUAUCACGAAGAACCCCGAUUGCGAAGGCAGCUUGCCGGAGUGUGACUGACGCUGAAGCUCGAAAGCGCGGGUAUCGAACAGGAUUAGAUACCCUGGUAGU